CUUCCUCAUCUAAACAAAAGGCAUACUGUUAAAACAUCACAUAUUCUGAUGCGAAAAAUAAUCAGCAGACAUUAAUUUCUGCCAGACAUUGCUUUGUAUCACUUUACUGCAGGUGCAGUCAACUAUAAUAACAGUUAUCAGCUGAUGUGAAAUGUGGGCAGCAACAUUAGGCAGAGCUCAUAACAUAAUGCAAAUUAUCCCUGAAGAUAAUCAAACGGUUAUAUUUACAUGUAUGUUGAUCAUAAACUGUUCCUGGGUAAACCUGAAAACUGUUUUAGAUUGCCUUUUAAAUGAUCCAUUGUAAGCCAUUCCAAAAUCUUGUUUACCACCAUGCCUUAAGAAAUAAACCAGGACUCAGUAUAUAAAGUGGAAAGUAUGGGGAGAAUGCAUACACAGGGACACAUGGAAGCUUCUUGCCUAUAAAACACCCGAACCACACACACAUUUCCUGUGCCACACAAUCCCCCUUUUCACUCCUUGCCCAAUGUGUGUGUAAAGGAGAGCGAGCACCGGGGAUGGGAAAAGUUAGGCAGGAAUAUGUGGUAGACUACACAAGGUAGUUUCAUUUAAAUUCACAGAAACGAUCUGUGUGCAGACCUGACGAUAAUCAAGUUAUGACAAGUUCAACACCUCCCAAACAGAAAACACUAAACAAAGGGACAUUUUGCUGAAGGCUCUCCACUUUCAAGAUUACUGCAGGAAGGUAUCCUGUUCGCGGCUGCGCCUAAAAAUGAAAGUCUCCCCCUUUAAAGUUUAAAGCACACUCAGGCUCAUCUCACAGAGAAAACAUGAGUGGAGUUACACUGGAUGUUUUGAUUGAGUGGUAAGUCUUUCUCAACCUUAUGAUUCCCAAUGUGUAAGUUAUGUAUUUCUGGUAUUUCAGGUUGAUCUGUCAACUUUUUUAAUUUAAUUUAUUACAUGAGAUUAAUACAUUAUCAAUCCAGUAGACAAUUGAUGUUCCAUGUAGCUACUCCGUAAGUGAUACAAUUACCUCACAAUGCCAUUUCAUUUUGGUGAUAUUAAGUUGUGGGCACCAGUAUCUAGCAGGAAAUGUAUAUUUCUGAAAUGAUUAAUCUUCUGACGAUCAAUGAAUCUACUAAUCAGCAACUACUCUGAUAACUGAUUACUCGUUUUAAUCAAUUUU
Long non-coding RNA from Siniperca chuatsi (mandarin fish), 1144 nucleotides. RefSeq lists it as uncharacterized. Lineage: Eukaryota; Metazoa; Chordata; Actinopteri; Centrarchiformes; Sinipercidae. The record is from RefSeq and is a predicted model, not a curated record. The transcript has 2 exons.